AUAAAAGCAAUGACGUGAACAAGCAUUUUGCCCCUGUCCUACAGAGAGGUUCUGGCUGGUGAGAAGAAUCGGAGAGAGAAAUGCGCAUCAUCACUGAGCUGAAUGUCGAAUCAAGUAGGCAUUUCCGGGUACACCCGUUAACGUGUUAGAGUAUGAACAUCUUGAAUGAUGCGUACUUAAUGAGGUCUGUCUUGUGAGGGACAGAUAAAAAGAGGUGGUACCACGAAGCAUAAGGCUCUUGUCCUCUUU
Regulatory RNA element from Clostridiales bacterium CHKCI006, 249 nucleotides. It matches the Rfam family "T-box leader". Rfam says of the family: Uncharged tRNA acts as the effector for transcription antitermination of genes in the T-box leader family. The record is from Rfam. Lineage: Bacteria; Bacillati; Bacillota; Clostridia; Eubacteriales.